Molecule: ribosomal RNA, 420 nt
Filed under: uncultured diatom
Lineage: Eukaryota; Bacillariophyta
Description: bacterial SSU rRNA
Rfam family: Bacterial small subunit ribosomal RNA
Source: RNAcentral
GUACGAGAGUUUUUAACUCAAGUGGCGGACGGGUGAGUAACACGUGAGAAUUUACCUUUAGGAGGGGGACAACAGCUGGAAACGGUUGCUAAUACCCCAUAUGCUUCCGAGUGAAAUGAAUUUAUUCGCCUAAAGAGAAGCUCUCGGCUGAUUAGCUUGUUGGUAGGGUAAGAGCCUACCAAGGCGACGAUCAGUAUCUGGUUUGAGAGGACGAUCAGACACACUGGAACUGAGACACGGUCCAGACUCCUACGGGAGGCAGCAGUGGGGAAUUUUCCGCAAUGGGCGAAAGCCUGACGGAGCAAUACCGCGUGAGGGAAGACGGCCUAUGGGUUGUAAACCUCUUUUUUCAGGGAGGAAUAACUGACGUGUACCUGAAGAAUAAGCAUCGGCUAACUCCGUGCCAGCAGCCGCGGUAAG